ACUCCAUUAGAGCAUCUCCAACGCAAGAGCCAAAAGGGGAGAAUUAGGCAUUUUGCCUAUUGAAGUCAGAUUUCGAAGGUCCAACGCGCUCUGCAUCUGAGGAGGCAUUUUGCCAAUUCUCGUUUUGGCUCUCCACAGGUAGCCAGCAUCCAUUGCUAGGCAAAGCACUCUUCCCGCCAUUGUGUUGGCCUCCAUCGCUGCUUGUUCCAUCUCUGUUCCAGCCCAUUGAUGAUCACAGGUGGAUGAGGUAGAUUUUCGAAAUGCACUCAAGGUGUUCGAAGAAAAGACAGACUAGAAUUUGGGAGGCAUGAGUUGAAUUGUGAACCCAUGUGAUGCAUGAGUUGAAUUGUAAACCCGUUUCUCUUUCUUGCCCAUUGCACAUGCUAGAGAGAGAUAGAGGUGAAUUGUUGUUUUGGUUCCAGGUUUAUUCAAGCCCAGUUCUGAAUUCUGUAUUCUUUUCUAAAAAUUUGGAUUGUAUUACAUGUUUCUGUCAUUUUAUAUGUAAUUCAAGUAGUGGGUUUUGUAGUUUCUUUGAUAGUUUGUUCAUUACGUUCUUCAUCAACUGGAUUUAGUUAGUUGCUUCAAUUCUGUCUCUGAUUCAUCA
Camellia sinensis is the source of this 604-nucleotide non-coding RNA. The record is from RefSeq and is a predicted model, not a curated record. NCBI's taxonomy places the organism in Eukaryota, Viridiplantae, Streptophyta, Magnoliopsida, Ericales, Theaceae.